RNAcentral lists this ribosomal RNA (589 nucleotides) under uncultured bacterium. RNAcentral describes it as "partial 16S ribosomal RNA". It matches the Rfam family "Bacterial small subunit ribosomal RNA", at positions 355 to 1375 of the family's 1533-position model. The record is from RNAcentral.
UGGGGAAUCUUCCGCAAUGGACGAAAGUCUGACGGAGCAACGCCGCGUGUAUGAUGAAGGUCUUCGGAUUGUAAAGUACUGUCAUUGGGGAAGAACGGUUUUCUUGAAAAGAUUGAGAAGACAUGACGGUACCCAAGGAGGAAGCCCCGGCUAACUACGUGCCAGCAGCCGCGGUAAUACGUAGGGGGCAAGCGUUGUCCGGAAUUAUUGGGCGUAAAGGGCGCGUAGGCGGGCUUUUAAGUCCGGUGUGAAAGAUCAGGGCUCAACCCUGAGAGUGCAUCGGAAACUGGAGGCCUUGAGGACAGGAGAGGAAAGUGGAAUUCCACGUGUAGCGGUGAAAUGCGUAGAUAUGUGGAGGAACACCAGUGGCGAAGGCGACUUUCUGGACUGUAACUGACGCUGAGGCGCGAAAGCGUGGGGAGCAAACAGGAUUAGAUACCCUGGUAGUCCACGCCGUAAACGAUGAGUGCUAGGUGUAGAGGGUAUCGACCCCUUCUGUGCCGCAGUUAACACAAUAAGCACUCCGCCUGGGGAGUACGGCCGCAAGGCUGAAACUCAAAUGAAUUGACGGGGUCAUAGCUGUUUUCCU